Molecule: ribosomal RNA, 208 nt
Filed under: uncultured bacterium
Lineage: Bacteria
Description: partial 16S ribosomal RNA
Rfam family: Bacterial small subunit ribosomal RNA
Source: RNAcentral
UACGAAGGGGGCUAGCGUUGCUCGGAAUCACUGGGCGUAAAGGGCGCGUAGGCGGCCAUUUAAGUCGGGGGUGAAAGCCUGUGGCUCAACCACAGAAUUGCCUUCGAUACUGGAUGGCUUGAGACCGGAAGAGGUAAGUGGAACUGCGAGUGUAGAGGUGAAAUUCGUAGAUAUUCGCAAGAACACCAGUGGCGAAGGCGGCUCACUG